RNAcentral lists this ribosomal RNA (467 nucleotides) under uncultured bacterium. RNAcentral describes it as "partial 16S ribosomal RNA". It matches the Rfam family "Bacterial small subunit ribosomal RNA", at positions 28 to 506 of the family's 1533-position model. The record is from RNAcentral.
GACGAACGCUGGCGGCGUGCUUAACACAUGCAAGUCGAACGGAAAGGCCCUGCUUUUGUGGGGUGCUCGAGUGGCGAACGGGUGAGUAACACGUGAGUAACCUGCCCUUGACUUUGGGAUAACUUCAGGAAACUGGGGCUAAUACCGGAUAGGAGCUCCUGCUGCAUGGUGGGGGUUGGAAAGUUUCGGCGGUUGGGGAUGGACUCGCGGCUUAUCAGCUUGUUGGUGGGGUUGUGGCUUACCAAGGCUUUGAAGGGUAGCCGGCCUGAGAGGGUGACCGGCCACAUGGGGACAGAGAAAGGGCCCAGACGCCUACGGGAGGCAGCGGUGGGGAAUAUUGCACAAUGGGCGGAAGCCUGAUGCAGCAACGCCGGGUGCGGGAUGACGGCCUUCGGGUUGUAAACCGCUUUCGCCUGUGACGAAGCGUGAGUGACGGUAAUGGGUAAAGAAGCACCGGCGAACUACGU